AGAGUUUGAUCCUGGCUCAGAACGAACGCUGGCGGCGCGUCUUAAGCAUGCAAGUCGAGCGGGAUUGGGGAGCUUGCUCCCCAUGAGAGCGGCGGACUGGCGAGGAGCGCGUGGGCGACGCGCCCCCCGGACGGGAACAGCCCGUGGAAACACGGGGUAAUGCCGGAUGGCAUGCAGGGCUUGGAGGCCCUGCAUCAAAGGGGCUUCGGCCCCGCCGGGGGAGCGGCCCGCGUCCCAUCAGCUUGUUGGCGGAGCAAAAGCCCACCAAGGCGACGACAUUGGGACUGAGAUACGGCCCAGACUCCUACGGGAGGCAGCAGCUAAGAAUAUUCCGCAAUGGGCGAAAGCCUGACGGAGCGACGCCGCGUGGACGAUGGAGGCCGGAAGGUUGUAAAGUCCUUUUGGGAGGGAAGAAGAAGUCCGGGAGGAAACGCCCGGGCGGCGACGGUACCUCGCGAAUAAGGGGCGGCUAAUUACGUGCCAGCAGCCGCGGUAACACGUAAGCCCCGAGCGUUGUUCGGAAUUAUUGGGCGUAAAGGGCGCGCAGGCGGCCGAGCAAGUCUGGGGUGAAAUCCCGGGGCCCAACCCCGGAACUGCCUUGGAAACUGCACGGCUGGAGUCGCCGAAGGGAAGCCGGAAUUCCUGGUGUAGGGGUGAAAUCUGUAGAUAUCAGGAAGAACACCGAUGGCGAAGGCAGGCUUCCGGCGGACGACUGACGCUGAGGCGCGAAGGCGCGGGGAGCAAACAGGAUUAGAUACCCUGGUAGUCCGCGCAGUCAACGAUGCACACCGGGCGUCCGGACACGAGUCUGGGCAAGGGUGAAACUCAAAGGAAUUGACGGGGGCCCGCACAAGCGGUGGAGCAUGUGGUUUAAUUCGAUGGUACGCGAGGAACCUUACCUGGGUUUGACAUGCACAGGAAUUAUAUGGAGACAUGUAAGCGCAGCAAUGCGCCUGUGAACAGGUGCUGCAUGGCUGUCGUCAGCUCGUGCCGUGAGGUGUUGGGUUAAGUCCCGCAACGAGCGCAACCCCUACCGUCUGUUGCCACCGGGUCGAGCCGGGCACUCAGGCGGAACUGCCGGCGACAAGCCGGAGGAAGGCGGGGACGACGUCAAGUCAUCAUGGCCCUUAUGUCCAGGGCUACACACGUGCUACAAUGGGCGCCACAGAGCGAAGCGAGGCCGCGAGGCGGAGCGAAGCGCGAAAAAGCGCCCUCAGUCCGGAUCGGAGUCUGAAACCCGACUCCGUGAAGUUGGAAUCGCUAGUAAUCGCGCAUCAGCACGGCGCGGUGAAUACGUUCCCGGGCCUUGUACACACCGCCCGUCACACCAUCCGAGUGGAGCGCGCCCGAAGCCGCGAGCCCGACCGCAAGGGGGGCCGUGUCGAAGGCUCGCUUCGUGAGGGGGGUGAAGUCGUAACAAGGUAGUCGUACCGGAAGGUGCGGCUG
RNAcentral lists this ribosomal RNA (1446 nucleotides) under uncultured Treponema sp. RNAcentral describes it as "bacterial SSU rRNA". It matches the Rfam family "Bacterial small subunit ribosomal RNA". RNAcentral also lists the same sequence under 1 other name. The record is from RNAcentral. Lineage: Bacteria; Pseudomonadati; Spirochaetota; Spirochaetia; Treponematales; Treponemataceae.